This 253-nucleotide ribosomal RNA is filed under the name uncultured bacterium. Its description in RNAcentral is "partial 16S ribosomal RNA". It matches the Rfam family "Bacterial small subunit ribosomal RNA", at positions 524 to 776 of the family's 1533-position model. The record is from RNAcentral.
UACAUGGGGCGCAAACGUUGCUCGGAAUUAUUGGGCGUAAAGCGCACGUAGGCGGUUUGUUAAGUCGGAUGUGAAAUCCCUCGGCUCAACUGAGGAAGUGCAUCCGAAACUGGCAGGCUUGAGUACUAAAGAGGGUCGCGGAAUUCCCGGUGUAGAGGUGAAAUUCGUAGAUAUCGGGAGGAACACCGGUGGCGAAGGCGGCGACCUGGGUAGAUACUGACGCUGAGGUGCGAAAGCGUGGGGAGCAAACGGG